AUGCCACUUCCUGCAUUACAGCAACCUUCUCAGGCAGAGGACCCUAAUGGAGUGGAGCGACAUUCGUCCUCUCAAUGGAAGGUUUUUUUCCUCAUCUUUCACAGGGUAGCCCGGAAGUCUUAUUCUACGCUGGAAAGAAUCGUCACCGAUGGUGAGAUAAGAAAGAUAAAGUACAGUCCGAUUGCAAAGAAGCGAAGGACAUGGGCUAUGACCUUGAGGAGCCUGUCGGGCUUUCGUGAAGAACGGUCGAGGCAGAAAAGUACCCCUCGAGCCGCAUCUAAGUGA
Molecule: long non-coding RNA, 285 nt
Filed under: Vicia faba (fava bean)
Lineage: Eukaryota; Viridiplantae; Streptophyta; Magnoliopsida; Fabales; Fabaceae
Source: RNAcentral